This 1372-nucleotide ribosomal RNA is filed under the name uncultured bacterium. RNAcentral describes it as "bacterial SSU rRNA". It matches the Rfam family "Bacterial small subunit ribosomal RNA", at positions 28 to 1381 of the family's 1533-position model. The record is from RNAcentral.
GAUAAACGCUGGCGGCGUGCCUAAUACAUGCAAGUCGAGCGAACGGACGAGAAGCUUGCUUCUCUGAUGUUAGCGGCGGACGGGUGAGUAACACGUGGAUAACCUACCUAUAAGACUGGGAUAACUUCGGGAAACCGGAGCUAAUACCGGAUAAUAUUUUGAACCGCAUGGUUCAAAAGUGAAAGACGGUCUUGCUGUCACUUAUAGAUGGAUCCGCGCUGCAUUAGCUAGUUGGUAAGGUAACGGCUUACCAAGGCAACGAUGCAUAGCCGACCUGAGAGGGUGAUCGGCCACACUGGAACUGAGACACGGUCCAGACUCCUACGGGAGGCAGCAGUAGGGAAUCUUCCGCAAUGGGCGAAAGCCUGACGGAGCAACGCCGCGUGAGUGAUGAAGGUCUUCGGAUCGUAAAACUCUGUUAUUAGGGAAGAACAUAUGUGUAAGUAACUGUGCACAUCUUGACGGUACCUAAUCAGAAAGCCACGGCUAACUACGUGCCAGCAGCCGCGGUAAUACGUANGUGGCAAGCGUUAUCCGGAAUUUAUGGGCGUAAAGCGCGCGUAGGCGGUUUUUUAAGUCUGAUGUGAAAGCCCACGGCUCAACCGUGGAGGGUCAUUGGAAACUGGAAAACUUGAGUGCAGAAGAGGAAAGUGGAAUUCCAUGUGUAGCGGUGAAAUGCGCAGAGAUAUGGAGGAACACCAGUGGCGAAGGCGACUUUCUGGUCUGUAACUGACGCUGAUGUGCGAAAGCGUGGGGAUCAAACAGGAUUAGAUACCCUGGUAGUCCACGCCGUAAACGAUGAGUGCUAAGUGUUAGGGGGUUUCCGCCCCUUAGUGCUGCAGCUAACGCAUUAAGCACUCCGCCUGGGGAGUACGACCGCAAGGUUGAAACUCAAAGGAAUUGACGGGGACCCGCACAAGCGGUGGAGCAUGUGGUUUAAUUCGAAGCAACGCGAAGAACCUUACCAAAUCUUGACAUCCUUUGACAACUCUAGAGAUAGAGCCUUCCCCUUCGGGGGACAAAGUGACAGGUGGUGCAUGGUUGUCGUCAGCUCGUGUCGUGAGAUGUUGGGUUAAGUCCCGCAACGAGCGCAACCCUUAAGCUUAGUUGCCAUCACUAAGUUGGGCACUCUAAGUUGACUGCCGGUGACAAACCGGAGGAAGGUGGGGAUGACGUCAAAUCAUCAUGCCCCUUAUGAUUUGGGCUACACACGUGCUACAAUGGACAAUACAAAGGGCAGCGAAACCGCGAGGUCAAGCAAAUCCCAUAAAGUUGUUCUCAGUUCGGAUUGUAGUCUGCAACUCGACUACAUGAAGCUGGAAUCGCUAGUAAUCGUAGAUCAGCAUGCUACGGUGAAUACGGUCCCGGGUCU